UAGAAGCCUCGGUGUGGGCUUAUCUCUCUGCAGCAGCCUGUAUAUAAAGCCUGGCUUCACACACCAGUCCUAUUCAAACUCACUCAGCGGCUGAACAUCACUCUAUUUCACACGGACUGUCGGACUAACAACUCAAGUAGCAAAGCAUGAAGCGCAGACGGCUGCUGCUCGCACUGGCUCUCUUACCCACCAUAACUGAGACGCUAGAGGACUCAGCUUCGCAGGGUGUCCCUGUCCCUUCCUCAUCUUCUCAGCCUACCCAGAGCUCCCAGUCUCUAGAUGACUACAUGACGAGCAUCCAGGCUCUUGCCCGUCCUGUGGAGGCCCCCAGUUGCGGCCCCGUCAGACUCCAGAGGUCCCCCAGGCCUCGGCUUUUCACCAAGAACCAAAUGAAGCUCUCUGUGUCAGCCUCUUUGCCUCGCGGUCCUCCCCGUGCCUUAAGGACUUCCCGACCCUGCACCCCCAGCCUAACUAGCACAGAGGAGCUCUCUCUCAGGAUGGGCAGGGAGAGAGACUGCAGGGGCACGGAUCCUGUGGACUGGCUGUUUGGGCAGACACAGAUAAGGACUUGAAGUGGGAUGUGACUGAGGGCAAAACAGAUGAAUCUCUGUAGGCCCUUUGUGGAGUGCCUCGUAAAAAACACAAAAGUGGAUUAACCUGCUCUGUUUAUACAAGUGGUAACAACUCAAAGGACUAUAAAGGACUCAGCAUGGUGGCUGAGGAAGCAGAGGACCAAAGUGAGGCUCUUGUAGAGCUGAAGAAAUAUUUAUUUCUAUGCACUAAGGACUCAGGUCUCCAUGUUUACAUUGUGUUAUUUUUUUUAUAUGGAAUGGAUGUGGUUUUUAAUAAAACAAAUGUGAAACUGUU
Long non-coding RNA from Myripristis murdjan (pinecone soldierfish), 867 nucleotides. RefSeq lists it as uncharacterized. The transcript has 2 exons. The record is from RefSeq and is a predicted model, not a curated record. NCBI's taxonomy places the organism in Eukaryota, Metazoa, Chordata, Actinopteri, Holocentriformes, Holocentridae.